GUAUAAGUUUGCUCAUAAAGGUUUGUCAGGGGACCAGAAUUUUCGUCGCUAUAACCGUGCAGACUCUAUAAACGGAGUCGUCAUAGCCGGAUUCUACUGUAUUUCAAACCCAGUUAAACG
Molecule: long non-coding RNA, 120 nt
Organism: Drosophila arizonae
Lineage: Eukaryota; Metazoa; Arthropoda; Insecta; Diptera; Drosophilidae
Source: RefSeq, a predicted model, not a curated record